Long non-coding RNA from Daphnia magna, 3081 nucleotides. RefSeq lists it as uncharacterized. Lineage: Eukaryota; Metazoa; Arthropoda; Branchiopoda; Diplostraca; Daphniidae. The record is from RefSeq and is a predicted model, not a curated record. The transcript is spliced from 13 exons.
UACAGUCAAUGGCGGCAUGGCGGUGACGUGCAUUGUAAGUUUGUAACUUGGAAGUGUAUGCAUGUGCGAAUUGAUGUGGCGUUGCAUGUCUUAGGCCCCGUUGGUAACUCCGAGUGAUGAUGACAUAUGGUAUCUUACUGACUUCUAUUGGUAUUUGUGGAAAGAAUGUCUUGAGUGGGAGAAUUGGAUCACAAUUGACUAAAUGUAGAAUAAUCGCAAUGUCGUGGUAGUUGUUCGCGAGAGAUAUGCCAAUAGGGUUUCCCUAUUGACAUAUUGAUACAGGCCUGUUUUCAAUUUGUAAUGGAUUCGAAGAGGAUAUUGAUGGAGUUUUGGUAUCAAAAAGUAUAAGUACAUGUUCGUUGGAAGGGCAACCGUAGAGUUCCGGAUCCUUUUGCUAUUGCAAAAUAUUAUGUGCGUGUAAAACUAAACGCUAAAAGAAGAAGAAGAAUGAUUCAAAAAUUCAGGGAGAGAAUCAUCAAAGAAUUAUACUUGUUUAGCUGUUUUUACUGUCCAUAGAACUUUUUUGGUCGAGACGUUAUGGGUGUCUUAAAGGCACUGAAGGUUGCGUUAGAUGUCAUAAUCCCCAACAAAAAGGAAACGCUGAAAAUCCCAGGUGGUGAUGGGAAUUAUUGGCAAUGUUACGGUGUAGAUAAAUUCAGAAAGUGUGAAGCUAGCUGAUGUAAACCGCGCCAGCUGUGCUAUUACCGAGUCUUUCUCACUUUUGCCGCCUAGCAGGAAAAGGUUGUGAGAGUAGCAGAAGAAGAGAAAAUUGCAGUAAACCCGGUUUUGAAAGAAGCCAAACAUUCCGAUGAUAUGGGAGCCCAGCCUGUGGAAACAAAAACCCUAUGUUUCAGAUAGAAAGACAAAAGGAACACAUCGUUCCUCAACCACUUCUGAGGACCACUGUCACCGAAAGAAAAUCACCUCGCUUAUAGACUCGGAAGGUGAAAGCGAGACCCAAAAGUUUUCCACAACGCAGUCCUCCACCGUUACAGACCACAAUGUGUAAAUGCGUCACAUCCGGGAAAUUAAUACUGCAGUAAUCAGAGCGAUAAAAAAAUUGGCACCAAUUCGUAUAUACCAGAUUAUGCCGCAACGCAUUCAAGAAUGGAGCUUAACACCUUGCAGGGCUGAAGAAAAUGAUAGAAAAGAAUUAGAACAAAUUUGUUGGCCGUAAAACAAACCGCGGGAGGCUCAGGAAGAGCUAGAUCUUAAACAAAAGGUUUUACUUUGUCUUGAAGUUUAUUCAUUUUUACGUUUUUUACUUAUGAAGAUGUGUUACUUGUUCUAGUGCUCUAAAGGAACUAGAUAACCAUAGCAAAGGCUAAUAAAUUUAGGGUUGACAUAAACUUUCGCGACGAAGCAGUUAAAGUAGGCGAAAGCCAAUCGACAAUCGAGUGCGCUACUGUCCCGUGCGUCACUCGCGGCAUCAGCAUUGCGGCAAGUAAGGCAUCCGACACAUGAAGGGAUGUUUCAACAAAUAAAACAAACGGGGUUCGGUCCAAUCUUUUAAACCAAAAUAGUGUGCAGUAAAAAGUUACACGGCGGUUCCAAUCCCAGUAACCAAAUAUACUGGAGGCAAUUUAAAGUCCGGUGCAUUGCAAAAAUCCUAAUAAGGGAAUCAGACGAAUUAGUUUCUCGAAGUACAAGAUUACAUCCAUUGUUGUCCAUUUAUGUCAGAAAACUGAUGUAGGUUAGCGGUAUCCUGUAGUACGAGAAGUUUACCGAUAAGGAUCCUGUGUAGAUGAGAUGAUAGUCACCACCGACUCCGUUUUUAACGAUAUUCCUCUCAAUAGACAGUGUUAGCUGUAAUAGGGAUUUUAUAUAGGUUUUUGGGGUGGUUCAGAAACGUUUACCACGUUUUGCAACUAGACGUCAUAUGAAUGGUACAGUUCAGUAUAUUUGCUAAUUUUCAUGCUAUUUCUUUCAGUUUUAAUCUGCUGUCCGACAAUGUUUCUAUAUCUUUAGGUGCAGUUCCUAUCUGCUGUGUGCAAAAAUAAAUGGUGGAAAAAAUCUGCUCAUCAUGCUGAUCAGCACAAUGCCAGCUUCAUUAAGCAUUCUUGAGAUGACCUAUGAACAGACUACACAGUAUUAAAAGACUCUUCCCUUAAGGAGAUUUGUAGCAGUGGACUUUCUUUAGAAGACUUGUAUCAAAUAUUUGCCUGCUUCUUGGAACAAGGAACUUAGGAGGUCUUGAUGACAACCAAGUAUCCUUGGAAAGAUUGUAAAAAAGAUGUUUAAGCAGGAAAUACCUUAAGUUGGAGGACGGUACAUUUUUUGUUUCCCGUUACUAGUUUUGUAAAACAAAUGGUAAAUUUGGUGAAAUGAAAACAACACAUGAUCUAUUACUUAAGAUCAAUUGUUUUCACAAGUGGAGAUUGAUUCCACAAUCUUCAGCUUCCUAGGCAGACAAUCCGCAAGGCAAUGGGAUAUACAUUUCCUGUAUAUUUUCGAGACAUCUAGUGGAGAAAUAACUAACUCCUUAGAACUUUUAUUGGUGUGUCAGCUGUCCCGUCAGCUGUUCCAUUUCGCGUGGCUGCGGACUGAGGAUGGCUGCUGAAACGAACGUCAAUCUUCCUGAAAUUAUACCGCCGAUUCCGUGUAUUUUGAGAUGCAUCUUGUGAAUUCAACCAAUGCAGAGUUGUUCAAGGAGGAACAUGGCUUGGCUAUGCUAGCAUGUUUUGUUUGUUUUUUUUUUAUCUCCGUUAGCCUGAUAUAUCCAUUUUGUUUCAAAGGUGAUACGUUAAAAGAGUAGUUCUUAACAAUCUUUUUCUCUAUCUAAAUCUCUUAGAUUCUUGGAGGUGUCUUAAGGUGAUGUUUGAAUUUAUUGUUAACAGUUUAAGUUUCGUAAAUCAUGCUUUCAGGUCUUUGGAAUGUAUCUGAUGUACUGUGGUGGCCGCAAAAUCAUUCAAUUACUUGGUUCAAUCCAGGACUUUGUUUUCUUGAUAGUGGGUUACAGUUUUAAUUUGCAGAGAUUCUGGAGGCACCUGAUGUGUUUCAUUGGCAUUGGAGUCCCUCGGUUACAGAAGAGAAUGCCACUACUGUUAUGUUGUCAGUGUAAAUAAAACAUAUCCAGUAUCA